UUAUGGCCAUAUCACGUCGUAACACCGUCUCUCGGACAAUCACCGAACUUAAGCAACGUCGAGCCUGGUCAGUACCUAGUUGGGUGACCGCUUAGGAAUACCAGGUGCUGUAAG
Non-coding RNA from Acanthosepion pharaonis, 114 nucleotides. The record is from the annotation of a GenBank genome assembly. NCBI's taxonomy places the organism in Eukaryota, Metazoa, Mollusca, Cephalopoda, Sepiida, Sepiidae.